GGACGCACUCUGAUCCAGCCAUGCCGCGUGUGUGAUGACUGCCUUAUGGUUUGUAAACUGUUUUUAUACGGGAGAAAACACUCCCUCGUGAGGGAGCUUGACGGGACUGUACCAAUAAAGAUCGCCUAACUCCACACCAGCACCCGCGGUAAUACAAUACA
Molecule: ribosomal RNA, 161 nt
Filed under: uncultured bacterium
Lineage: Bacteria
Description: partial 16S ribosomal RNA
Source: RNAcentral